UCCACCUGAAAAAAUGUAAAACAAGGGGGGUUGGAGAUUUAGCUCAGUGGUAAAGCGCUUGCCUAACAAGACUAAGGCCCUGGGUUCGGUCCCCAGCUCUGAAAAAAAAAUAAGAAAAAAAAUGUAAAACAAGGAGUCUUCUUUAUCAUGUGUUAUUAACAAAAGCAGCACUUCAAGUGAAGCAAUUCUAAACAAUUUAAUAAAUUCCAUACAAUCGCAUGCAAGUAAUUCAAAUGGAAAAGGUGCAAGGAUGUGCCUGAGAAUAAGAGCUUUGUGUUAAUUAAUCUUGACUUUAUUGGAUGAAAAACUGAACAGGAGACUAGGAAAGCACACUUCUGGGUGUAUAUGUGAGGUUGUUCCCAAGGCCAUUAACUAGGAAGGUAACGCCUUCCCUGGACAUGGGUGUUACUAUCCAAUGCACUGAGAGAUUGAAAUAAAGGAAAAAGAAGGAGGACAUUCCAUAGCAGAGCCAGGCUUCUAUUUGCUUUCUGCCUGCCAUGACUAAAUAGGUUUCCUCCACCAUGCCCUUCCUCCAUUCUUCUUCAUGGCCACCAGUCCAAAAGCAACAGAGCCAGCUGACCAUAGAUGUAAAACUCUGAAAGCAUGGGCCAAAAAAAUACCCCCCCUUAGGCUGUGCUAGAAACAACUGUGGCAGCAGGGAAGAGAUACAGAACAACAUGGGGAAAUGACAAGGAAAACUAUGAUAAGGUCCUAGAAGUCAUCUGUAAUGAAAAUGCUAAUUUGGCCAGAAUACAAAUUAAAUUCACUUCUAUAAUAUUUCCUACCUUUAAAACCUAUUUAUUUACUCAUUCAAUAUGUGUGGAUGAUUUGUCUGCAUGUAUCUCUGUGCACCCUCUGGAUGCCUGGUGCCUUCAGAGGCCAGAAGACUCUGCUAGAUCUGGAGUUACAGAUUGGAAGCUGCCAUGUGGGUGCUUGGAAUGGAAACCAAGUCUUAGCCACUCAGGUAACUUCACAGCCUCCUGUUUCCUACUUUUAAUUAAUUAGUAUAUAUAGUUAAGUUCACUUAGUUUAACUGCCAAUAUAUUAAUUACUACUGUUUCUCGGAACUCUCAAGAGAUUCCAGCACACACACACACACACACACACACACACACACACACACACACACUAUGCUUUAUGACUUCCCUUGGGAUUUAAAGGCAAGCGAGUGAAUAUAAUUCCCUAGUCAGAAGACAGUGCUCUUAAGUAAGCCCUUUAUGUGUUAGUGUCUCAGUACACCAAACGCUUUAUUUCUCAUAGAACUCAGGCUUCGUAGCAAGGAAUUUUUUUCAUUCAUUUUCUCACUUUCAACAACGUAGGAAAGGCGUCACUUUUCAGGCCAGUUAAUAUGGGGGUUUAGAGACUGGAGAGAUGGCUCAAUUGUCUGCUCUUCCAGAGGUCCUGAGUUCAAUUCCCAGCACCACAUGGUGGCUCACAACCAUGUGGACAUGCAGAAAUAGCAUGUUGUAUACAUAAAAUAAAUGAAUGACUCUUAAGAAAAGAUUGCUUUUUAAAAAAAUAUGGGGUUUUGUUGUUAUCUGAUGGUUAGGAAAAGGUGUCUCAGUGAAGGACUAUGGAGCUGAGAUUGAAUCGUGAGCAUGUCUGUAGGGGAUCGUCUUGACUGAAUUGAUGUGGGAAGAUCCAGCCUGAAUAGAGGCCGCACCAUUCUGUGUUGCAGGAUAUUUGAUCACAUUGGCAACUCCAAGAUUGUGAACUGGGAAAACCUUGUUGUAGUAUGGCUCAGCUCUAGCACACACCUUUGAUCCAAAAGCUAAAUAAAGUCAACCCUAGGUCAAGAGGCAAAGCAAGUAACCAGCCAACAGGGAGUGAACAUAAGUAAACAGAAAGGAGGGACACUGAGGAAAAGGGUAUUUUUUAAGACAGCAUGGGGAGACAGAGGCUUUUUUGUUCUGGGACAUCAGUGAAUAGGAAGGUCAGCUGGGUGCUUUUUCUGCCUCUCUGAGCUAGCAGACUGUCACCCCAGCAGCCAGUUGGAAUCUUCAUUGGUAAAAUGGAAUGGCUAGGAUGUUUGCUUUGAAAACAACAGGACUGUAUCUGAGUAGAGAAAGCUAACUUCGUAGCAGGCAAGCAUGCUUCCACUGUCUGUGACCAGCUGUUUCAAUGUCGUGCCUAUAUGAAUUCCCCACAAUGACGGACUACAAUGUGGAACUACAGCUAGAAUAAACACUGUCCCCUUUAAAGCUGCUUUUGUCAGGGAGCUUCAUCACAGCACCCAAAGUGAAACUAGGACAUUCUCCUUUGUACAAAGUGACUUACUACCAAGACAAGAGGAAAGCAGAAGAGACAAGCGUGAAGAGAAGGGAAUCCAUGCCAGGCAAGGAAACUUCAAUUCACACCCAGGAUCCUCAGGCUUAGGAAGAGUUUCUGGCAGCUUCAGCCCAGGUGGCUAAGAGCAGGCAUGACGCUUCAACUCCACUGUCAAUGUGACUGGAUCUAAAAUAAUCUAUGACACCAAGCUGGGAAUCGGAUCUGUGUGAUUCUCACCCAUUAUCAAAGAAGCUUCCUUCCAUGGGAGAUGGGAACUAACACAAAGACAAAGCUACUGGACAGUGCACAGAGAGAGAGACUUUGGAACUCUUGGUCCUAAAUGGGAUGUCUUCCUCCAACCCAUCCUCUCAGGGAUUAGGUAAAUAUAUGGAAGAGGAGGUAGAAGAUGGUAAGAGCCAGUGGGGAUAGAGGACACCCAGAAACGAGUGUCUUCUAGUGUCUUCUACACACAACAGCACUGAUGCUCGCAUGAACUCGCAGACACUGUGACGGCAUGCACAGAACCUGCAUGAAUCCAAGCCAAAAGGGGUCCCAGAUUUGACAGUGGAAGCAGAAAUGAGCCACUGUCCUUAAUGCAGGAGCUAUCUCCAACUGUCAACCUCCACCAAGCAGUCUCACCAGGGUACAAACUAUGCUCAAGGGCAGGCUUCAAGGCAGUAGAUGGCCAACACAAAAUGAACUCCGUGGAAAGGUUAUUUAAACCUCAUAAUGUUUUGCUAUGUCUGGGCAUUUUCUAUAUCUUACUGAUCUGUGGCCUAUAUAUCAUUAUGGUUUCUGAUUUGGUGUUUUUCGGGGGUUUGUUUGUAUGUGUGUCUGUAUGUCUGUGUAUCUGUGUAUCUGUGUGUCUGUGUGUCUGUGUCUGUGUGUCUGUGUGUAGGUGUUUCUCAUACCUUUUCUUUGCUUUUUUUCUGUUUUGUUUUAUUUUGGUUUAUCUGUUUUAUUAUCUGCCUGGUUUGUUUUGUUUCCUAAAGAGAGAAAGAGAAGGCAUGGUGUUGGAUGGGUGAGGAGGAACCGUGAUCAGAAUAUAUUUAUGAAAAAAAAUUAUUUCAAAUAAAUAAAUAAACCACAAAAUCUCCCAGGAGACAUGAUACUUGACAUGUCUGUGAAGGUUUUUCCAGUGAGGUUUAACAAAAGAAGUAGAUUCACCCUGAGGGUAGCACCAUCCUACGGGCUGAGAUCUCAUGUUAAUUUAAAGCAAACAACAACAACAACAAAAUGACAAAAGAGGCAAGUCAGCUAUCAGUUCAUGACUUGUCUCUACCCUUCAAAGGCCAUCUGACCAGUCUCCCCACACUUUGAUACUGUGACUUCUGUGCCGUGACAGACUGUAUUCAAGUCGUGAGUCUUUUUUUUUAAUAUUUAUUUUAUUUUUACGAAUACUCUGUCACUGUCUUCAGACACACCAGAAGAGUGCAUUGUAUUCCAUUAUAGAUGGUUGUGAGCCACCAUGUGGUUGCUGGGAAUUGAACUCAGGACCUCUGGAAGGGCAGUCAGUGCUAUUAACCACUGAGCCAUCUCUCCAUCUUGAGUCUUUUUUUUUUUUUUUUUUUUUUUUGGUCAGGAAUUUUUGUCAGAGCAAUGAGAAAAGUAACUGCUAAGCUGGCAAUGCAUGCAUGGAUGCAUGCUCACUAGGAGAGUAGAGCAAAUCACUCACUCAGUCACUCCCUCCCAUACAGUAGAAGUCCUACAUUGUUAUCCCUAAGGCCCCUUCCUGGUAUCUGGUCUGACUGUAGAUAAAAGGUCCUACAAAUAGUUAUUCCUUCCUUCCAUUUUCUAGGCAAAGGAGGAAUAGUUCCCUUUGGAGGUUUCUGAUCUAUGACUUAGCACAGUCGGUUUGAAAUCCCACACCUAAUGCCACAAGGGUUUCUAUCUGUGGAAGUUUUAAUAUGAUUGGCCCAUAGGAAAUGGUGCUGUUAGGAGGUGCGGCCUUGUUGGAAAAAGCGUGUCACUGUGGGAGUGGGCUUUGGAGGGCUCCUCCUACGCUCAGGCUCCACCCAUUGCAGAAGAGCGCUUCCUCCCUACUACCUGAGGAUGUCAGUCUCACCUGGUUGCCUUCAGAUCAAGAGGCAGAGCUCUCAACUCCUCCUCCGGCAAUAUGUACGCCUGCUGCCCUGCUUCCCGCCAUGAUGAUAAUGGACUGUACCUCUGAACCUGUAAGCCAGCUCCAAUUAAAUGUGGUCCUCUGUAAGAGCCGCUUUGGCCAUGGUGUCUCUUCACAGCAAUGGAAACUCUAAGACACUAUCUUUCUCUACCCCAAACCCCAGUGCCUUCACUUCCUUCUCACUCUGGAACAACAGAACUUUGGGAACCAGUUGCAUCACAUCUGCCCUUAGCUCACCCAUUGCUCCUCCUUUCUGAACUAGAUUGGAAGGCUUCCCUUUCCCUAGAUGGCUCAGCCCAGCUAUUGCAGCUUCUCAAAUGCUUAGCUCUAGGAUUCUUUUUUUUUUUUCUAUUCUGUUUUUCGGAGCUGGGAACCGAACCCAGGCCCUUGUGCUUGCUAGGCAAGCACUCUACCACUGAGCCAAAUCGCCAACCCCUAGCUCUAGGAUUCUUAACCCACGCCACACACCAUUGCAAACAGCCAAAAAGAGAGAAUCUAAUGCUGGGGGCCAGAGAGAUGGCUCAGCAGUUAAAAGCACCCACUGCUCUUGAGGACCCAGCUCGGUUCCCAGCAGUCAUACAGCAGGGCACAACCAUCUGUGACUCCAGUUUCAGGGGGACCAAUGUCUUAUUCUGGUCUCCACAGGAAUGCCUGUGGUACAAAGAUAAACAUUCAGACAAAACACUCAUACACAUAAAACAAAAGUAAAUAAAUCUUUAAAAAAAAACUUUAAUGCUUAUGUACUAUUGUACCAUCGUAGUGAAUACCUGCAAUCCCAAAUAUUAGACGUCUGAGGCAGAGUACUUCCCAGGAGUGCAAGACUAGCCAGCAAAACCCUGACUAGAUAGAUAGAUAGAUAGAUAGAUAGAUAGAUAGAUAGAUAGACAGACAGACAGACAGAAAAAUAGCUCAGAGAGGUAAAGGUAUCUGAGGAUCUGAGUUUAAUACCUGGGACUCACAUGGUAGAAGGAGAGAACCAAUUCCUAAAAGUUGCCCUCUAACACACACACACACACACACACACACACACACACACACACACACCACACACACACCACUCCAUGCUGUGGCAUGCAUAAGCCCCGGCAACAAAACUAACAGACAAAAAUUUAAUUCAAAAUAUUUUUUCUUUUUUUUUUUUUUUCCCGGAGCUGGGGACCGAACCCAGGGCUUUGCGCUUGCUAGGCAAGCGCUCUACCACUGAGCUAAAUUCCCAACCCCUUAAUUCAAAAUGUAAUAGUUCUUUUAUGUUUUAAAAAUCUAAUUCGGGACUGAAGAGGUGGUUCAGCAGUUAAGAACACGGGCUGCUCUUCCAGAGGUCCUGACUUCAGUUCCCAGCAACCACAUGGUGGCUCAUAGCCAUCUGUAGUGGGAUCGGAUGCCCUCUUCUGGUGUGUCUGAAGACAGCCACAGUGUAGUCUUAUACGCAAAAUAAAUAAUUCUUUUUUUAAAAAAAUCUAAUUCUAUAAACUUUCAAAGUAGUCAUCCCAUGCACGUAGGGCUAUGAUUACAGCCUAAAAGGGGAAAUGCAAGUACCCACCUGAUCUCACCUGCUGACUAAUCUCAUGCUACACACACCAGCAAGGACCUUCCAGACAGAAGACACAUCACAGAUACACACACUGUGAUCUCAGGGAGGCCUACGGUACGCACAUCUUCACAGGCACCUUAGUCUCUCAUGCCCACACCAAGCUCAUAGCCUCUUAUCUGUUCCUCUCACAUGCUCAGACUCUACAACUUCAACAACCCUACAUCCCUAAAGUCUUCCAAAUACCACACCAUGGUUCCGAGUAUCCCUUUCAUCCAAGCUGAUCUUACGCAGAACUGCUCGUCCUUUUCUCCCAUUCCCACCCACAUGAAUGUGAUGUUUUCUGGGCACAGAGGUAUACUACUAUAACCCCCCCCC
This is a non-coding RNA of Rattus norvegicus (Norway rat), 6296 nucleotides long. The record is from RefSeq and is a predicted model, not a curated record. NCBI's taxonomy places the organism in Eukaryota, Metazoa, Chordata, Mammalia, Rodentia, Muridae.